Molecule: ribosomal RNA, 443 nt
Filed under: uncultured bacterium
Lineage: Bacteria
Description: partial 16S ribosomal RNA
Rfam family: Bacterial small subunit ribosomal RNA
Source: RNAcentral
CCUACGGGUGGCAGCAGUGGGGAAUAUUGGGCAAUGGAGGAAAGUCUGAACCAGCAACGCCGCGUGCAUGAUGAAGGUCUUCGGAUUGUAAAGUUCUUUUUUAAGGGAAGAAGAUAGUGACGGUACACUAUGUAUAAGCCUCGGGUAACUACGGGGCAGCAGCUGCGGGACUACGUAGGAGGCGCGAGUUAUGCGGAUUGAAUGGGCGUAAAGGGUGCGUAGGUGGUGUGGCAAGUUAGUGGCGUAACUCCAGGACUCAAACCUGGGACUGCUACUAAUACUGGUGGACUAGAGUGAAGUAGGGGCAAGCGGAAUUCCAGGUGUAGCGGUGAAAUGCGUAGAUAUUAGGAAGAACACCAGUGGCGAAGGCAGGUUACUAGGCUGUAACUGACGCUGAGGCACGAAAGCGUGGGGAGCAAACAGGAUUAGAUACCCGAGUAGUC